Molecule: long non-coding RNA, 228 nt
Filed under: Arachis ipaensis
Lineage: Eukaryota; Viridiplantae; Streptophyta; Magnoliopsida; Fabales; Fabaceae
Description: long non-coding RNA (AIPA_LNC000142)
Source: RNAcentral
AGCAAAAGCAAAAAGAUGUGGUAUUGCAGUAUUUGUCCUAUAUGUGCAAAUAAGAAUCGGGCAGAUCUUUACUCAGAGUAUAAUAGAAACCUAAAAGAAAAGAAUUGAAGAAGCCCAUUCAUAAACAAGAAAAUUACAUUGUGAUUUAAUUUUAUUUAGAUUCGAUCUCGAUGAAAACAAUACAUCAAUGAGGAGUUAGUUCAAAAAGUUAAAUACAUUCUAUAUGUA